Molecule: small RNA, 696 nt
Filed under: Pan troglodytes (chimpanzee)
Lineage: Eukaryota; Metazoa; Chordata; Mammalia; Primates; Hominidae
Description: processed transcript
Source: RNAcentral
GGUGUCAGCAUCUUUCUACCCCAGCGUGGAGAGGAAGCGCAUCCAAUAUCUGCAUGCAAAGCUGCUUAAAAAAAGAUCAAAGCAGCCGCUGGGAGAAGUCAAAAGACGGCUGAGUCUCUAUCUUACAAAGAUUCAUUUCUGGCUUCCAGUCCUGAAAAUGAUUAGGAAGAAGCAAAUGGACAUGGCAAGUGCAGACAAGCCAUGAGAGACCCCGACUACUCCUCAGCCACAUCGCACCAACAAUUCUCCUCAGGUCUAGGAUGGCAGUCACUAUUCAUGCCGGAUAAUAGAGAACUAUGUGACGCAGUCCUCUCAGGAGUCUGAGUUUACAGAGCCAACUUGCAGCACCUGGUUAUGCCUCCUUUCAUCUCAAAGCCAAAGAGCUGCCAGGUAAAUGGUUAUGUGGUCUAUGUUCCAAACAAACCACAUGAUCUUGCCUGUGUCACAAUGUAACAAGACUCUAGCUGGGUCCCCUGGUGAUGAGUUUCAGCAUAGAAUAAUGUUCAAGGAAAAGAAAACGAAAACAGUUUAAAUCUCUACCACAGCCUCACAAGCAAAUGCUAAGGGGAACAUACAUGUAAAAAGCCAGCAAACUAUCUUCAAACUCUUCCGUCCUUAAUGUCUUCCACGGCUAUUGCCCCCACAAUGGUCUCUUUUCUCCCUGCUCCCUUAUUAAAGAACUCUUUCUGAAACUCA